AUUGAACGCUGGCGGCAGGCCUAACACAUGCAAGUCGAGCGAGCGGCGGACGGGUGAGUCAUGCCUGGGAAUUGCCCAGUCGAGGGGUAUAACAGUUGGAAACGACUGCUAAUACCGCCUACGAUUGGCUUGCCCCGGUGGGCUUAGCUCGUUGGUGGGUUAAUGGCUCACCAGGGCGACUAUCCCUAGCUGUGCGGAGAGGAUGAUCAGCAACACUGGAAUUGAGACACGGCCCAGACUCCUAGGGUAGGCAGCAGUGGGGAAUAUUGCACAAUGGGGGAAAUCCUGAUGCAGCCAUGCCGCGUGUGUGAAGAAGGCCUUCGGGUUGUAAAGCACUUUCAGCGAGGAGGCGUUACUCGCAGAAGAAGCACCGGCUAACUCCGUGCCAGCAGCCGCGGUAAUUC
This 404-nucleotide ribosomal RNA is filed under the name uncultured bacterium. RNAcentral describes it as "partial 16S ribosomal RNA". It matches the Rfam family "Bacterial small subunit ribosomal RNA", at positions 30 to 526 of the family's 1533-position model. The record is from RNAcentral.